Orcinus orca (killer whale) is the source of this 5570-nucleotide long non-coding RNA. RefSeq lists it as uncharacterized. The transcript is spliced from 4 exons. NCBI's taxonomy places the organism in Eukaryota, Metazoa, Chordata, Mammalia, Artiodactyla, Delphinidae. The record is from RefSeq and is a predicted model, not a curated record.
GCAUUAUAUUUAACACAGCACUGCCUGUUGUCUGCAUGAUUCUAGCCACGAAAAUUGGGUGAAGAUGGCAGUAUACCCACUGUGUGUACAGAUAGGUAGAGACCCUAAUUUUCGAGAGCUACCUGCUUUACAAAAUCCUCCUGUAGCCGAGCUUUUAAGAUGUGUACCCACAGAAAUGGUAGGAUAUGCUCCCUUGGUCAAUUCAGGAUGUCUUUCAUUUUUUUUCUUGUGCCACUUUUUUUUUUUUUUUUUUUUUUUGUCAUCUGAAUGAUUACUUAUCAUGAUCAAGGGACUUUAGGCUGAUCAAUGAAGUGUGCACAGAACUGAUGGACGUUCGAGGAGAAAUGCUUCAGGGAUAAGGAAAAAUGUCUGCAGUAGAAGCGAAGCGUUGGGAUGAGCUACAGUCACUGAUAAGUUCAUUUCCAAAUCCAAGGGAAUGUAAGUGGUAAAUUAGUACACACGGCAAACAGAGUCAAUGCGUAAAACCCAGCCAUUGAAAAGAAAGAGAUUUUUAGCAUUGUAGUCAUCACAUGCCUUAAUAGAGUGUCUGCGUACUUUAAAUAUAGAUUUGAAUCACUGCUCUUUUAUCCCUCUAAAUGCCGAUUUCAAAGAAGUCUUUGGGCAUUGUUGACUUUCUGUCCAUAAAGAAAACCCACCCAGCUUCCCCAAGUUACAUCACCUGCACUCACACAUGCAUGCGUGUUUUAAAUGCCCAUGGGAUGUGGAACAAUUAGGCAGAGAUCUGCACUGUGGUCUCUCGUUUUCACUCCACCCCACCCACCCCCUUUUUUCUUCCCUUUUAGAAAAUGUGAUACCUGAUCUCUGGGUCUAGCAGGGCUGAGGAUUUUUUUUUGUAUUUGUAUAACACAGUGUCUGGCCUUCCCCCUGACCUGCUGGUGUAUUUUUGGUCUCAUUAGUAGUCAGGCAGAAGCCUUAGUGCAUCCGGUGCUGGGAGUCAGGGAUGAGACACACGACAGCAGAGAGAAGGAGCGGGCGAGAGGGUAUUAGAAGAGAGGCUUGCCUCCAAGAUAUGGAAGGAAGUGAGAAAUGACAGGACGACGGCAAGCUUUGUAUGGAGGAGCCUGGCAGGGCGGGGGAGCCGUGAGGAGCGCGAAGUGGGUUCUCAGAAGCCCUAGAAGAGCUAAAGGUGAUUAGAGGGGGAUAUUGAUUCCUUACUCUGCCAGAGAUUUAAGCAGGCAUGCGAGGAAUCUGCACCAUGGUUGGCAAAAGGAGACCCAUCGCCUCCUGUAACCAGACACUCGGGCUUUCCAGGAGCCCAGGGAGAGAACCGAGAAGAAAGGGGGCAGUGUGGUCUAGGAAAAUUCAACUUGUCGCUGAUUUGUGCCUGACGCUUGCUGUCCGUCAGCAGCCUCCCUUACAAUCUUUUUUUCCUCUCUCUCCCUUUUUUUCUUGCCUUCUCCUUCUUCACUGAAGCCUAGGGGAGCCAGUAAAGAUUAAAUGUGCUUUCUCAAAGGCAGCCACUUCAUGCUGCUAUGUCGAAAGGGCCAUUAUUAUUAUGUUUUUAACAGUAAAAGAAAAAGGGAGAGAGGUUGAGAGAGAGAGAGAGAGAGAGAGAGAGAGAGAAGCUAGGUAGGAUGAUGACGGACUAGCUUUUCUGAGAGGAAAAGGAAAAGGGAAGGGAGAGAAAAAGGAGAGACCCUGAACUGAACAGAGGAUUGUGCCUGCGAAGAACCUACAGAGCCAUCCAUCCACCUUGCUCAGGCUGGAAUAAAAGAAGAAAAAGAAGGAGGAAAGGAAAGGAAACAGAAGGAAAGAAAAAAAGGGGAAGAAAAAAUUUUUAAAGAGUCAUCUUCCCACCCACUUCCCCUCCCUUUCGUUUCAUUUUUGGAGGCGGCACUAGGAGCCAUCUCCGCAGAGGAAAGCCCAGCUUCCAGGCAGACGCGGGGAAGCGACGAUCUAUCAGGUACAGAGCCCGUAGCUGUCUGCGAAGAUGGAGGGGAAUUGUGCUUCGGAUUCCUCCGAAAUAUUGGCAAACGGCUUCAAAGGAUCCGCGGCGGGAGUGGGGCGGGGGAGAUGCGCCUCCCCGGCUCGCGCCCACCCCUUCCCACUCGCCUCGACCAAGUGACAGCCUGGUGCUGGCUCGGGGUGAUUUGGCCUUGGCUCCAGCCAAGCAGCUGAUGUACAGGAGGCCCUUCGCAGGACUGGCAAAGUGCACGCUAAAGAAAGAAGGAGGAAAUUUUGAAAAGCAGCCCUGGGGAGGGUUCUCAUUCUUCGAAAAACAUUUUUUUUUUUGAAUUUUUAACCGAAUAUUCUCAAAAUUUGAUCAGCCCCAUUCCCUCCCUCCACUCCCACCGAAUCGCCCUUUUUAACCCCCUCUCUCGUCAAAGCAUAAACUACAGAGUUACAGUCUCUAGAUUUGGUGUAUCGCUUCCUGCCCCCGCCUCCCCCUCCCUGCCCAGCUCUCAGUCCUCUAUUGAAACACCUCGCCCAGGCAAGCGCCCUGCAGCUCACAUUUCCCCCCCUGGCCCGGACGGUGCUACUGGAGGCUGCAGCCCGACUCCACUUCCAAUGGUAAGUUGCCUGUUGGAUAAACCUGAAGUUAUUCUUACGGAGCGCACUCUCCCAGAGCGAGGAUCGUGGUGCUCUCACACACUCUCAAGCAAUCCUGUUGCUUGACUGAUUCCUGAACAAGAUGAACAAUGAGCAAGCUCCGUUUUUCUGUCGUGUUGAUGUCCUUUCAGCUGGUCCUAUAGUCCCCCCUCCUCAGGAAUGUCUCCCCAGUGAAAGGACACAGACCACAGAGACUGCUGUCCUGAUGGGCGCUCAAGCCGACUGUGAAGUUGAAACAAAGAAAGCGAUCACCUGAAGACACCUCUCCUGCCAAGUGACACACCCACAUGCUGCACCUUCAGCCAAUAGAAUCUCAGAACAAGAACAAGGCAAGCUUUUCAAGAAACAGAAGCACUUAAGAAUGACGUCUAGAUUUCGAAGGAGCCGAGGACUUUUCCCUUCGUCAUGUGUAUUCCUGUUUGUAUUUAAAUUCUGUGUGACAUUCAUUUUUAAAAAACUUUUUUUCUAGUAUGAAUGAAUAUGCUUAUUAAUGCACCGAUUUUUAAAAUAGGAAGUUGUUCAUGCCGGAAGUAAAUUGAAUGUUAGCUACACACCGAGUUUGACCUUCAGAGUGACUUAAAGAAUAUAAAGUUCUUUUGAAAUAACGAAAUAGUGGGAGGCAAUCCAAAGGAUAAAAUAAUGGUGAGAACUCAGACUGUGGCGUAGAAAUACAAGAUCCCGCUGGCGCCAACCAACCAACCAACCAACCAUUCUUUUUAUCGGGCAAGCUAGGUUCUGUGAGAUGUGGUCAGUGCCUCUGAAGAGUUUAAGUCUAGUGAGGCAGAGGCACAUAAACUUUUGAAAAGAUAAGUAACAAAUCAGGUCAACUGAUAAGAGCAAAACCAAAACAAAGCCAAAGAUAUAAACAAGGAGCUCAGGGGUCACCUUAAGCUGGGCAAACUGGUCUGUUUAGGGAAGAAAGUUCCCAAAGGAGGAAAAUACAAGAUGAAUCUUAAAGGCUGUUAAAGAUUCAGAUAAGUGGAAAGGAAGGAGAAAAUAGAGGCCUUUAGGUGGAUGCAAUAUUGUGAGAAAAGUCAGAGAGGAAAGCAUCUACAUGGUGGUUUUAGGGAAUUAUGAAUAUACAUGUCUUCUGCACUGCAUCCCUGACUUUCAGUGCCAAUGUAUAGAUAUAUAUACGGUGAAGACUUUGCACACACACACUUCCCCCCUCCCUCCCUAGGGGUAGCCUAGAAUUAUAAUCAUAUUUCUUCCAUUAAAGCAACUGAUAGGAAGAUUUGUGAUUUUUCUGUUAGCCUAGUAACAAUGGAUAUCUAUUGAGUUCUCACUACAUGUUAAGCAUUUUCUAUGUUAACUCUCUUAAGCCUCACAACAACCUUGCCACAUAGAUGUUGUUUUUUAUUCCCAUUUUACACAAAGAAAACUGACUUUUAAUGAGGUUAAGUAACUUGCCAAACUGCCACAUACAGAGUUCACAAUCAGAAUUGCGAUUGCAGAGCUCAUGAUCUAACGCGCUAAGUCACAAUAUUGCUACCAACGUUGUAAUAUUACCGCUUCUAUAUUCCUCGAUAUUUUUCUGUGGUAAAUAAAUAGCUAUUUCCCUUAAUUAGCUUCUCAAAUUUUUCAGUUUUCUGGUUAAGCUCACAUGAUGGAAUGUAUUUUCAUGAAAGAAAUUGAAAAAAAUUGGGCAAUAGAGUCUAUCAGCAUUUUAGACCUUUUUUUGGGAGGGGGCCAGACUCUGAUGAAACUGUUCACUUCGGUCAGCAUGAAAUCUCAACUACUUGAGAAUAAAAAUAGGAGGUGGGCAGAGCUUAAAGGUCCUUUUCUACAGAUGUGAUAAAUCCAUAAAGUUUGCGUGACUUACGGAAGAUCACACGUUGAAGUGUAGCAGAGCUCGGUCCGGAAACCAUGCCGCCCUCAGAGGCUCUUGAACUUCUCCACCCUGUCUAAAUGAAGUGUGAGCUUGAAUUUGAUCAGUGAAAACAUUCUAUCUGGGUGAUCAGGGAGCAUUGUACCUAGUAGAUUGCUUCAAUUUUGCACCUCUUUGGCUUCUCACCUCAAUGUGAAAAUUAGCUAGCUACAAACUGACAUCUUUAGUUCCAGAAAUUGUCAAUGGUCCAUCCACAAAGAACACACAAUGGCCCAAGUUACGUGUGCAACGUCUUCAAUGAUAUUCUUAAGUUAUUUGGCAUUCUUAGUUCACCUAAACAAACCAGAUCUUCUAAUGAGCAUUUUCUUAACCAGUUUUAUGGACAGUAUAUAUUUGUAAGAGCUUCUGCAUGAAUAUUUAAACACGACUGUUUCAAUAGUCCUUAUGUUUUUUGAAAAUAUCAAUGGUUAUUUGCUAUUUUAAUUGUUACUAACUCAAGAAUACUUCAGCCAUAAAAAACUAGAACUGAGGAAACCUCACUCUUCUUUACCAGCCCCUUUGCCUUCAGUUGGCAUUUAGUGAUGAUUAAUAAAGUGGUCAGGGGCUUCCCUGGUGGCGCAGUGGUUGAGAGUCCGCCUGCCGAUGCCGGGGACACGGGUUCAUGCCCCGGUCCGGGAAGAUCCCACAUGCUGCGGAACGGCUGGGCCCGUGAGCCAUGGCUGCUGAGCCUGCACGUCCGGAGCCUCUGCUCCGCAACGGGAGAGGCCACAAAAGUGAGAGGCCCGCGUACCGCAAAAAAAAAAGAAAAAGUGAUCAGCUGGAGAACACAGAAGUUCAAAACAUAAUUUUGUCUUGAAGGAGUCAGUUAAUCUGUGUCUACUUAAGGGCGAGCAUCUAGAUGUUUGGAAGGAUCUGAAUAUUUGACUGCUGUAAACUUGCGCUUAGAUAUCUGGCAUUGUCACACUUAGACCUCCUGGUGGCUCAGGUCGUCCUGUUUUCAAAAUGAUGGUCAUUGGCCAUAUCUCACACAGUUCUCAUUAAGUGAACUCAUAAAUAAACAGGUUUUUUUUUUUUUUAAAGCGUAGCCAAGCACAAAAUGUGACUUUGUUGACAUUUUGUGAGACUUUGUCAUAUGUCCCCUGAACCCCCAAUAAAAGCAGUGAUGCAUCAA